AGUGAACGCUGGCGGUAGGCCUAACACAUGCAAGUCGAACGGCAGCACAGUAAGAGCUUGCUCUUACGGGUGGCGAGUGGCGGACGGGUGAGGAAUACAUCGGAAUCUACUUUUUCGUGGGGGAUAACGUAGGGAAACUUACGCUAAUACCGCAUACGACCUACGGGUGAAAGCAGGGGAUCUUCGGACCUUGCGCGAUUGAAUUAGCCGAUGUCGGAUUAGCUAGUUGGCGGGGUAAAGGCCCACCAAGGCGACGAUCCGUAGCUGGUCUGAGAGGAUGAUCAGCCACACUGGAACUGAGACACGGUCCAGACUCCUACGGGAGGCAGCAGUGGGGAAUAUUGGACAAUGGGCGCAAGCCUGAUCCAGCCACACCGCGUGGGUGAAGAAGGCCUUCGGGUUGUAAAGCCCUUUUGUUGGGAAAGAAAAGCAGCAGGUUAAUACCCCGCUGUUCUGACGGUACCCAAAGAAUAAGCACCGGCUAACUUCGUG
RNAcentral lists this ribosomal RNA (492 nucleotides) under uncultured bacterium. Its description in RNAcentral is "partial 16S ribosomal RNA". It matches the Rfam family "Bacterial small subunit ribosomal RNA", at positions 29 to 507 of the family's 1533-position model. The record is from RNAcentral.